RNAcentral lists this long non-coding RNA (1007 nucleotides) under Lathyrus oleraceus (garden pea). RNAcentral's name for it is "Pisum sativum (pea) long non-coding RNA (PSAT_LNC004059)". The record is from RNAcentral. Lineage: Eukaryota; Viridiplantae; Streptophyta; Magnoliopsida; Fabales; Fabaceae.
UUCAAUAUCUAGAGUUGAGAACUCUCUAGAAUUAGUGUGUCUAGAGUUCUCCUUAGAGUACAUGUAAUCUUACACUUUUGCAUCAAACAAAAAUACAAAAUUCUCUCUUCCAUAAAUAAUUCUCCUACCUAUCAAAUUCCUUUUCAAGCCUUUAAUAUUCUUAUACACUUUCCCUAAACACAAAAAAAAAAGAUUUAUUUCCAAUAAUUCUCUUGCAAUAAAGUAAAGCAUAAUAAUCAGAUAUUUGAGAAUACCGAAACUUAAGAGAAUUCAAACCCUUGAAACUCACGAAAGGAAUCAAUAUAAUGUGAAGUAACAUAGUUGGCAUCCUUUAGCUCAAAUCCAAAAAUAGAUAAAGAUUUCAAUGUUGGUCUGUGACGGAGAGCCAAAGCAACUGGGAGCAGCCAAACAAGAGGUGAAGGGAAUUAAGGUUGGGGAAUGUAUGGAAGAAAAGAGGGAGAAAACAAAGUUGUCAUAGAGAAUAUGACACGGUUGGUGAUGGCUAGGAAGUGCUUUGAGACGAGAGAUAGAGAUUUAAAAUUACUUUUCUUCUUGUCUUUGGCGUUGAUAAGGAAUGCGAAGACAUGGUUCCAGCAGUCAUCGGGUAAGUAAAACUCAGGUUCUGCAAUUAUGAUUGAAUUCGUACCUGAAAACAAUUGUUGUUGCUGUUGAAAAGAUUUCACACAAAUUCUCUUCUUCUUUCUUAUAGCAACUGAUUUUGAGGAUCUAAUAAAAGUAUUCAUCUUCAUCAUAGCUAGGAGGAACAGAGAUUUCUGAGACAUCAUCUUCUUUCUUUUCAUCUUCGCCAUCUCACGUUCACCGUUCAUGGAAUAUGGAUUCCCUCACUAUUUAAAGACUAAAUAUUAGGUUUUGUAUCCCCUCCCUCUUUUUUAACCCCAAAUAAUAAAUAAAUAAAAUAACCAACUCUCCACCUUUUCAAUCCAAAAAUAAAUAAAUAGCAAGCCACAUAAUUUAAAUAAAUUAAUUUAUUGACAUUUUAAGAAAAC